RNAcentral lists this unclassified non-coding RNA (173 nucleotides) under uncultured fungus. RNAcentral describes it as "sequence contains ITS1, 5.8S rRNA gene". The record is from RNAcentral. Lineage: Eukaryota; Fungi.
CCGAGUGAGGGCCCUCUGGGUCCAACCUCCCACCCGUGUUUAUCGUACCUUGUUGCUUCGGCGGGCCCGCCUCACGGCCGCCGGGGGGCUUCUGCCCUCUGGCCCGCGCCCGCCGAAGACACCAUUGAACGCUGUCUGAAGAUUGCAGUCUGAGCAAUUAGCUAAAUAAGUUA